This 253-nucleotide ribosomal RNA is filed under the name uncultured bacterium. RNAcentral describes it as "partial 16S ribosomal RNA". It matches the Rfam family "Bacterial small subunit ribosomal RNA", at positions 524 to 776 of the family's 1533-position model. The record is from RNAcentral.
UACAGAGACCCCAAGCGUUAUCCGGAAUUAUUGGGCGUAAAGGGUGUGUAGGCGGUCUUUUUAGUCUCCUGUUAAAAUCUAGGGCUCAACCCUAGACUCGCGGGGGAAACGGAAAGACUAGAGGAUGCGAGAGGUGAAUGGAACUCAUGGAGUAAGGGUGAAAUCCGUUGAUACCAUGGGGAACACCGAAAGCGAAGGCAAUUCACUGGCGCAUUUCUGACGCUGAAACACGAAAGCGUGGGUAGCGAACGGG